This 223-nucleotide ribosomal RNA is filed under the name Ixodes scapularis (black-legged tick). Its description in RNAcentral is "eukaryotic small subunit ribosomal RNA". It matches the Rfam family "Eukaryotic small subunit ribosomal RNA", at positions 1229 to 1478 of the family's 1831-position model. The record is from RNAcentral. Lineage: Eukaryota; Metazoa; Arthropoda; Arachnida; Ixodida; Ixodidae.
UUCUAAGAGGAUUGACAGAACGAGAGCUCGUCCUUGAUUCGGUGGAUGGUGGUGCAUGUCCGUUCUUAGUUGGUGGAGCGAUUUGUCUGGUUAAUUUCAUUAACGAACAAGACUCCAUCCUAUUAAAUAGGUGCGUGGUUCUCUGCAAUUAGCACCCUUAGAGGGACGAGCGUCUCCUAGCCGCACGAAAGAUAGCAAUAACAGGUCUGUGAUGCCCUUAGAU